This 253-nucleotide ribosomal RNA is filed under the name uncultured bacterium. RNAcentral describes it as "partial 16S ribosomal RNA". It matches the Rfam family "Bacterial small subunit ribosomal RNA", at positions 524 to 776 of the family's 1533-position model. The record is from RNAcentral.
UACGUAGGGUGCAAGCGUUAAUCGGAAUUACUGGGCGUAAAGCGUGCGCAGGCGGUUAUGUAAGACAGAUGUGAAAUGCCCGGGCUUAACCUGGGAACUGCAUUUGUGACUGCAUGGCUAGAGUGUGUCAGAGGGGGGUAGAAUUCCACGUGUAGCAGUGAAAUGCGUAGAUAUGUGGAGGAACACCGAUGGCGAAGGCAAUCCCCUGGGCCUGCACUGACGCUCAUGCACGAAAGCGUGGGGAGCAAACAGG